This 43-nucleotide small RNA is filed under the name Arabidopsis thaliana (thale cress). Its description in RNAcentral is "ATSL243490". Lineage: Eukaryota; Viridiplantae; Streptophyta; Magnoliopsida; Brassicales; Brassicaceae. The record is from RNAcentral.
UGAGAGAGAGAGAGAGAGAGAGAGAGAGAGAGAGAGAGAGUCA